CAGCCAUGUGCUCGCGUAUCAUUUUACUCUGAAAUAACUCUGCGGAUUUCAGCUCAACCUGCCUUUGCUUAUAAUGCAUGACAUAGCCUGUGAGGGAGCCUGAGAACCGUCCCUCUUCAAAAGCAAGGUUCCCAUGCUUGGCCUGUAACCAUGGAAGCAGAUGCCUUUUUUGCUUACCCCUGCUUACCUCUUUGCAGCCACGAGCUGCUCCCUAUUGUUAAAAGGGGUACGCCUUGAUUUUUCUUCGUCGUGACCGAACUUGCCUCUUCUUCAAAGGGCAUGAUGCUGCAGGUCAUUGGUCUAGACUGUUUGCACGGUCCAGAGAACAGCCUUGAUGUAACCCUUGCUCCGUCUGUGCCACACCACCAGCCGCGCGACUGCAGACUGUAGGGGGACAUCGGAGAUCUGUAUUUGAAAAGAAGUCCGUCCGAUUUUGCCAUUGUGCCUUUUCAGUCAUCGAUCGAAUGAAUAUCGAACCUUCUGUCGUUGCAUGUGUGAAAUAGAUAGCUUAGCAAGCACUUUUGUGCCCAGACCUGUGCAGUGGGCCAAACUCUUCUCCUUUAUUCACAAAUAUUUUUUUUUGCAAUAUAGUAAUUUCUUAGGUACUUUAAAUACCAGCAUCCUAACGUUGGACCAGCCUCAGAAAAGAGCUUUGUUUUUUAUUCUUUUUUGCUGUAAUCUGCUUGAUGGAGCCGCUACUUAUUUGGGGUUUUAUUUUUCUUUUAAGUUCUUUCUCUUUUACCCAUUCCCAGUUGAACAUCAGCCCCCCUAGAAGUGCAAAGGAGGUUGGUUUUGCCCCAGAAUUGUGAGAGUUUUCAAAGCAAAAUACUGAUUGGAGGUUUGAGGCUUUAAAAAUAACAGAGGGAAAGAAAAAAGAAGAAGGAGGGGGGGGGGGGGGACGACUUGGAAAGCUUCCAACAUAUAUCCAAUAUGUAAGAAAUCCAGAAGAUACGGUAAAUUUUAAAAAGAUUAUAAAUAAAAUAAGUAGCUGUAAGAAAAGACAGGCAUUAUAAUAGAUAAAUGACCUGGAAGCAGUGGCUUAAAACCUAAAAGAAUCACAUCUUAUUUCUUUCCUAGAUAUACUAAUAUACUGGAUGUACUCCAUAUAUUACUAUACUAAGACAAGUAACUUGGAAAAUUAAGAUCUGAUAGUAUGAGAACUCUAAAACACUUCUCACUCUUCUGUACUAUUGUACAAAUAUUUUAAGUAGUGACAUGCCAGCUUACUUUCUUUUUUUUUAUUUUUAAGGGCUAAUUUAAUUUUAAAAAAAUUGUAUCGAUAGACGUCCAAAACCCAACAAGAAAUUCUGAAAAUCUUGCUAAGUCAGUGAGAAAAUGCAGCUGAAGUGCUCAACCAAAGAGUUCAACAGGACUCCAGGAACUGCAGGGUUGGGGGAGAUGCUCUAAUACCUUAGAACAGAAGAGCCAGAAAUGUAUGGAAAAUGAUACAUUCUUGAAAUCAAUCGGUAAGCAAGUUUUUCCUCUUCUUUUAAUAGAACGGCAAACUCUCUGACCGCUGCCUGUCAAAAAACAAUAACCCAGUGACAGCCAUCAGCACCUACUCAUUGAAAAAUAUGCCCGUCUCUACUCUGUUCUAAUAAAAUGCGGAUUGCAUCAAAAAGGGAAUAUUCUUCAGGGUGUUGCUUACCCAGUGUUGUCUGUAUAUGACAUCAGUAUAUAUAUUUUUGAGAUACUACUAUCUCGUACUUCAAGGCAUACCUAUUUUCUCUAAUUGCCAGAGGCUAAGGGGAGGUGCACUAAAGAAUAAAGAAGGUUAUUGUGACAGAUGAAACAUAAUUCACAAUGAGUACUCUUUUCAUCCAGCCUUAAGUAGCAGAGGAUUACUCCGAGCUGAAUUUUAGGGGAGUAUGUAUGAUCUGAUUUAAUAAUAUGAGGACAGGCCACAAGCUGGAAGGCAAUAUAAACCAAUUAUGCUUUUGCUGAAUGUUUGGGGGGUUUUGUUGUUGUUUUUGGUGUUUUUUUUCCCUCUUCUUUUCUGGAAGGUGAAGAAAUGUUAACGUGAAGAGUGUCUGAAGAAACACGAGGAAAAGUAAGAAGUGCCGAGAAAUAAAAGUUGGGAUUUUCUGGAAUGGAUAUUGAUAAAUGAUUAUUCUAUAUUUCUGCUUCAUGACACUUAAAUGAAAUAAGACCAUGCAAUUUCUUCAGUAAACAUGCGCUGUGAAAGUAGGUAAACUAAUUUUGAUACACUUACUGAACUUGUAUUGCUUCCGAGAAAUUCAUACAUGAGUCUUCUAAAAAUGCUGUACAAUAUCAAGUUUAGAUGUAGAUAAGUGUGACAGUAAAAUAACUUUCUGCUAAAUGUGUACACUGCUUUUCUGAUUCAUUGCUUUAAUAUUUAAACAGUAAAGAGAGAAGAAAGAAGAAAGAGCUCUUCCCUUUCCCUUCAGGCAGCUUUGAUUUUAAGCAAAUCUUCAUGCGCAGACAUGAGUCUCCUGCCCUUGGAAGAAGAAAGUGGGAAGCAGCAAAAAGAGACUGUGUGUAGGCAGAGGAGAAGCAGACAAAAUGAGUCAGGCUGCCAGACUGCCAAGACCUUCUUGGAACAAAUGAUGAGGAAACCUGCACUAAGAACAGUAGAAGAAAGCUAUUAGAAGGUUAAAACACACCCAGAACCUAAGUAUUAUGAAUUUAUGGCAAUUGGUGCAACUCUGAAGUGAGAAAGGUGCUGCUGACAGGCUAUUAUAGAGGGCAAACUGGGGCAGAAGACAAAGAAAGGUCUCUUGAAACAUGGUAUUAAAAAGGAGCAGGCACUGAAGUUGGUGUAGGUGCAGAUUUUAAAACAUCCAAAUUUACAGUGGGUUGCCAGUGGCCUAUGUUACCAUUUGGUGAUCUCCAACAAAGACCAAGAACAAAGACAAGAGGGUACAAAUACAACCAGUGCAAGCCAAACCCAGAAGAAAACGGGGGGUGGCCACCUCUCACAGAGGUGGAAUCAUAUUGACCAGCAUCCUGCCUCUUCAAGUAGAAGCACUUUGCACACUUACCUCUAUAUAUACAUAUAAGAUAAUAUAUACAUAAAAGAUUAAGGGUAUGUCUGUCAUUUAACUAGCUAUACAACCUGCUGAAACAAAGAUAUUCAAGCUGCAAAACCCAAGGAUGUAAGUCCAAAUUGUGGUUAUGGUCAGAAAGCAACCUAGUCCACAAAUUACUUCAUGAAAAAGAGCUGCUAAAACUGAACUAAGUUUUUUGCUGUUGUCAGAGGAUAGCCCACUGCUGAGACAGCCUUCAGAAUGCUGCUGCACUUCUGCUAUAAUGGAUUUUAAGUUUAUGAUGCACUCUCAAAAUCAUUUCAGUAGAACCGAAGACUAUCAAAUGAUUUCAUAAUCAAUUAACACUACAGCUUAAUUCCCAGUCUGCUACA
Molecule: long non-coding RNA, 3379 nt
Filed under: Gallus gallus (chicken)
Lineage: Eukaryota; Metazoa; Chordata; Aves; Galliformes; Phasianidae
Description: lncRNA (ENSGALG00010008944.1)
Source: RNAcentral